AACCCGCCCACACGAAGUCGGAGUUGCUAGUAAUCCCGAAUCAGCAUGUCGGGGUGAAUGCGUUCCCGGGUCUUGUACACACCGCCCGUCACGCCAUGGGAGUCGGAAGUGCCCAAAGUCGGUGACCUAACCGCAAGGAAGGAGCCGCCUAAGGUAAUGCCGAUGACUGGGUGAAGUCGUAACAAGGUACC
Molecule: ribosomal RNA, 191 nt
Filed under: uncultured bacterium
Lineage: Bacteria
Description: partial 16S ribosomal RNA
Rfam family: Bacterial small subunit ribosomal RNA
Source: RNAcentral